This 1548-nucleotide small RNA is filed under the name Drosophila yakuba. RNAcentral describes it as "GE27903". Lineage: Eukaryota; Metazoa; Arthropoda; Insecta; Diptera; Drosophilidae. The record is from RNAcentral.
GUGAUGAUGUGUUAGUAAAAGUAGUAGUUUGUGAGUUGGUGUGUGUGAUAGUGGUUCCAGAGGCCAUGUGGGCAUCUCGUCGUCAUUCUGGAUGCAGUGCAUCAUGGACCUGACCAGCGCCGCCCACGUGCCACGCCCACCGCUCUGACGCCCAGGCAUCGGCAAAUUUGCAUUAAACCCACCAAGUGAGCUGAGUGGAUGAGUUGGACUGGCAUGUGGCUGUGGAGGCGGAUGAGGUUCGGGAUGAGGAUGAGGAUGCGGAUGAGGAUGCGGAUGCCAUCAGUAUUCCACAGAACGGGAUGAAGAGGACGGGCAGGUGGAGAUUGGAAUAAAGCGAUGCCAGAGGCAAACAGCGCGGAACCGAGCGCCCAUAAAGGGAGCUGGAUCUGGAGAGGAUUCCGCACAUAUGCACAUAUAGGGGCUGGGACUGGAGUGAUGUGGAGUGGAGUGAUGUGGAGUGGAGUGGAGUAGAGUGGAGGGGAUGACGAGGAGCAGGAGAGGCCCGGUGACAAGGCGACAGUCCGAUCCCAAACUGGGAACAGCCAGGCUAGCGACCACAAGGACUUAGCUUGUUCUAAUUAAUUUGUACGUUCAGGCAAAAGUACAAACCAAAAAAAUGUGGCAGCCAGGAACAACAGGACUAAGUGAAUCGAAGGCAGGAGGGACGAGAGGUGCAGGAGCACAUAUGCUGGAUGUCCUGGUGCACAUCCUGCGGCAAUAACUCACGACCACUUUAUGCGCUUAAGUGAUUUCUAAUGCAAACCAAUUUCCGAAAUCAGGCACAAGCACUUGAAGCCAAGGACAUUUCCCCUUCGCCAAAGGACCCAUCCUCCAUCCUCCAUCCUCCUGCCUCAAGCCACCCAAAACAACAGCCCCCAAAAACGUUAUCCCUACGAGGAAAAUCUGAAGUCAGACGGGAUAUGCUCGUACAGUUGAUGUUGCAAGCAGAUGCGGAGGGAGUGAGGAAAGAGGAAUGGAUCGCCUGCCAAAGGACGCGGCCUCCACUUUCGUCUAUCAGGCAAAUGACAGUCGCGUCCUGCCUCGUCCUUGUCCGCCCAAUCACCACCCACCCACCCAACUCCUCCUGUUCCCUGUGUUUCCCGUGUCCCGCGUCCCGUGUCCCGUAGCCAGACGCUGUUUGUCUUCGACUUGGUCCCGGCUUAAUAUCACAUGCAGAACCUACAACUCUGCACAUGAAACGAUGGCGCAAUCUAAAAGCUGGCAGCAAAGAAUUCAGAUUCUGGCUCAAACGGAGCGGAUGGAGUGGGUGUAAGCGGAAAGGAAAUAUGGCCAAAAGAUGAUGAUGAUGAUGGGGAUGCUUCGUUCCACAAAAACAGUCAGCGGGAAAGCGGGAAAACGACAGCAGCAGCAGGCAGCAGGCAGCGGUGGAAAAUCAUAAAGGAAAAUAUUGAAUUUACUGCAAAAAAUGCAAAUUUUUUCCUUUGAGCCAAGCCUGAAAACUUCACUGACUGCCAAAAGUAGAGGGUACCAAUGGGGGUGGUCGACUUUAUCAUGAAUAUGUAACUCUUUCAGACUAUUUAACUUUUA